This 253-nucleotide ribosomal RNA is filed under the name uncultured prokaryote. RNAcentral's name for it is "partial 16S ribosomal RNA". It matches the Rfam family "Bacterial small subunit ribosomal RNA", at positions 524 to 776 of the family's 1533-position model. The record is from RNAcentral.
UACAGAGGGUGCGAGCGUUAAUCGGAUUUACUGGGCGUAAAGGGUGCGUAGGCGGUUAAAUAAGUGGAAUGUGAAAGCCCUGGGCUCAACCUAGGAAGUGCAUACCAAACUAUUUGGCUGGAGUAUAUGAGAGGGUGGCGGAAUUUCCGGUGUAGCGGUGAAAUGCGUAGAGAUCGGAAGGAACGUCAAUGGCGAAGGCAGCCACCUGGCAUAAUACUGACGCUGAGGCACGAAAGCGUGGGGAGCAAACAGG